Molecule: non-coding RNA, 72 nt
Organism: Bos taurus (domestic cattle)
Lineage: Eukaryota; Metazoa; Chordata; Mammalia; Artiodactyla; Bovidae
Source: Rfam
UCCCUGGUGGCUCAGAUGGUAAAGCAUCUGCUUACAAUGCAGUAGACUCAGGUUCAAUCCCUGGGUUGGGAA